GAUUGAACGCUGGCGGAAUGCUUUACACAUGCAAGUCGAACGGCAGCACGGGGCAACCUGGUGGCGAGUGGCGAACGGGUGAGUAAUAUAUCGGAACGUGCCCAAUCGUGGGGGAUAACGUAGCGAAAGUUACGCUAAUACCGCAUACGAUCUACGGAUGAAAGCGGGGGAUCGCAAGACCUCGCGCGAAUGGAGCGGCCGAUAUCAGAUUAGGUAGUUGGUGGGGUAAAGGCUCACCAAGCCAACGAUCUGUAGCUGGUCUGAGAGGACGACCAGCCACACUGGAACUGAGACACGGUCCAGACUCCUACGGGAGGCAGCAGUGGGGAAUUUUGGACAAUGGGCGCAAGCCUGAUCCAGCCAUGCCGCGUGCAGGAUGACGGUCCUAUGGAUUGUAAACUGCUUUUGCACAGGAAGAAACAACGCUACGUGUAGCGUCUUGACGGUACUGUGAGAAUAAGGAUCGGCUAACUCCGUG
This 478-nucleotide ribosomal RNA is filed under the name uncultured bacterium. Its description in RNAcentral is "bacterial SSU rRNA". It matches the Rfam family "Bacterial small subunit ribosomal RNA", at positions 27 to 507 of the family's 1533-position model. The record is from RNAcentral.